AUACGGAGGGUGCAAGCGUUAAUCGGAAUUACUGGGCGUAAAGCGUACGUAGGCGGUUUAUUAAGUCAGAUGUGAAAGCCCCGGGCUUAACCUGGGAACUGCAUUUGAAACUAGUAGACUAGAGUAUGGUAGCGGGGGGUAGAGUUCCUAGUGUAGCGGUGAAAUGCGUACAUAUUAGGAGGAAUACCAGUGGCGAAGGCGGCCCCCUGGACCAAUACUGACGCUGAGGUACGAAAGCGUGGGGAGCGAACAGGAUUAGAAACCCUAGUAGUCC
RNAcentral lists this ribosomal RNA (274 nucleotides) under uncultured bacterium. RNAcentral's name for it is "partial 16S ribosomal RNA". It matches the Rfam family "Bacterial small subunit ribosomal RNA", at positions 523 to 796 of the family's 1533-position model. The record is from RNAcentral.